Molecule: long non-coding RNA, 800 nt
Organism: Oreochromis aureus
Lineage: Eukaryota; Metazoa; Chordata; Actinopteri; Cichliformes; Cichlidae
Exons: 2
Source: RefSeq, a predicted model, not a curated record
GUGAUCAGUGUGGCAGAGCUUUUACUCAAAGAAGCAAGUUACAGAGGCAUCUAGUUACCCACUCUGGAAUUAAGGCAUACAGCUGUGAUGAGUGUGGGAAGGAGUUUACUGGGAAGGCUUCACUAAAACAUCAUCAGGUCAUCCACACUGGAGAGAGACCGUUCAGCUGUGACUUGUGUGGAAAGUCUUUUUCCAGGAAGGAUUCCCUAAAAGAGCACCAACUCAUCCACAGUGGAGUUAAAGCGUACAGCUGUGAUCAGUGUGGCAGAGCUUUUACUCACAGUAGCCACUUACAGAGGCAUCUAGUUACCCACUCUGGAAUUAAGGCAUACAGCUGUGACAUUUGUGGAAAAACCUUCAGCCAGAGAGGGGACCGAAAUACACACCUACGCAUUCACACCAGACAUGAUGUGUACUGCUGUGAACAGUGUGGCAAACAGUUUAUAACUCACACAGAGUUACAACAACACAUGUUUACCCACACUGAGGAACGACCUUAUAAAUGUGACCUGUGUGAGAAGACUUUUAAAUCUCCACGUCACCUGAGACAACACCAACAGAUCCACACCAGAAAGAGACUCUACAAGUGCAGUUACUGUGAGAAGCAGAGCGACACAGAUGGAUCCAGUUCUCAACCCUGUCAUCACUGUGGAGGUGGGAAAGACUUUCGUUGUGACCUCUGUGGAAAAACUUUCAGUUGGCAAAAGACCCUAAAAAGACAUCAACGUAGACACACUGGAGACAAACUGAAAUACUGCAAAGAAUGUGGGAGAAGCUUCACCACAUCAAGUUACUUAAAA